Molecule: RNA transcript, 1562 nt
Organism: Erinaceus europaeus (western European hedgehog)
Lineage: Eukaryota; Metazoa; Chordata; Mammalia; Eulipotyphla; Erinaceidae
Gene name: spidroin-2-like
Exons: 5
Source: RefSeq, a predicted model, not a curated record
ACCAACAUGUACGCGCGCGCGUUGCCGUUCUCCCUCAGACACACUGGAGGGAAAGGUCAAACUAAAGACGAGGGAGCCGGGAGGCCAGAGGGAGCCGUCGCCGCCGCCGCCAACGCCGCGCGCCAUGACGGACGCGGCCCUGGCUGCUUUCUCCCUGCCGCCGCCGCUGAGCCGUCGCUGUCGCCGCGCCCCCAGCCCCGCCGUCGCCCCCCCACUGCCGCUCGCGCGGCCGCGCGCCCCUCCCCCCACACGCGGGCGCGCGCAGGUCGGGAGCGAGCGCGGGGGGUGCGGGCCGGCGGACGCGCGGGAGGACAGGCGGGAGGACGGGCGGCCUCCGCGGCGCGACUCCGACCGGGCGGCCCCGGGCCGCCGCCGCCAGGACCUCACCACUCUGGACUGAAUAUUUCAGAUAGAAAGAGGGAGACAGAAAGACAUCACAGCUCUGAAGCUUCCACCAGUGUGAACCUGGGUUGUUUGCAAGCAAAACCAGAUGCACUAUCCAGCUCUAGAGACUGCAGAACCAGGAGCCAUCAUUACUGAAGUGUCCACACCCACCUGGAGAAGCUAGGAUAUGUAAGCAAGCUUGAUGAUUGAGUUCCUCAUGAAGUCAAAAAGUUCAUUUGACAGCAUGGAUGAACAUCUGGGCUAUGCUUACUACAGUGCUUCACCCCCAGGUAGAGACCAUAGCAUGAAGCUUCCUGAAGGAAGUGCUGGUAGGACUCCCAGGAACUUGAACCUGGGUUGUAUGCCUGGCAAAGCAGACACCCUCCCAGAGUAUAUCAAGUAUUGAAUUUGUCCACAUGGAACAGUUCCAAAAAGGAGCUUAAGCAGCAUGGUAUUUUUUUUCCCCUUUUUGUGAAGAUUGUUGCAGGGCCCUCAAGCAGAUUAAGCUGUACCAGUCAUAACCACCUUCAUCUCAUAGUUCCAGAUUCAUAGAGAUGCCAGAUAAAAACAUAACAGACACAGCUAACUGCAAAUGGAAGGAAAACCCAACUGGCAGAAUGUAGAGAAAGCAAAGCAGUCAGAACAGUGAACUCAGAUUCCGCAAGCUGCUGUGAUGGGGGUGGGGGUGGUAAUCCUGGCUCUGGGCCGCACCGGCUGACUGAAUUUCACCAGCAAAUGACAUGAUGACCUUACAGCACGCCCUUAGGGACCCUUACAAGGCAGCUGGGACCCUUACAAGUGCUGCAGCCUUAAGGAAGAAGCAGAGAUCUAUGCAGCUACACAGCUACGGCUUACUGAAACCUUGCACACACUAAAGGUGAGUCUGGAAGAUCAUCUCUAAACUCUUGGAAUACCCUGAUUCAGAUGCUCAGCUCUGUUUACCUGGGGUGUCGAGAUACUCCAAAUAGUCUGUUAAUAUGGGAGCCUGCCACCAUGCAUUGUGUCUCUGGUCUCUGGAGAAGCUGGAAACUAGAGUCAUGCAGGACUACACAUCUACAAGAGUAAACCCAAUAAAAACCCUGGACAUCAUGUAUCACGUGAGUUUCUCUGGUUAGCAGUAUUCUGUGCGUGUUGUCCCAUGUUACUUUUGGAACAAUUAAAUGUCUGUUCGACUGGAA